Molecule: long non-coding RNA, 3549 nt
Organism: Ictalurus punctatus (channel catfish)
Lineage: Eukaryota; Metazoa; Chordata; Actinopteri; Siluriformes; Ictaluridae
Source: Ensembl
GGACAGUUCAGUAGCAUAUCAGGUUUAUAACUGCUAGGAACAAUUCAGCCAAACAAAGGCCUAAAAGUUUCUAUUUGCUACAUCUUUCUUAGGAGAAGCCAGAUGUCGAAAGUGGGGAGAGGAGGUAGGUGGUGGUGAGGGUGGAAACAACGAAGGAGAGCAGUGAAAAUUAGCGCCACUCUCCUGCCCUCGAUGAAGUAUCAGUACUAUAAAAGAGCUGCCUACAGAGUCCUUCAGCGCACACUGAGUGGGAAUAAACAACAAAUUUGAGCACCCAUUGCUUCAGAGAACAAUUCAACCCUAAUUGCAAACUCUUUUUUUUUUUCUCAUGGCCAAAGUCCUGUUUUAGAGCAAGAGCUUGUCUGCCUGAGCCAUAAUUACUGUUUGUGUUGGCAGGAAGUGGAGGGAGCCUCCAUGUACUGUUCACUGUGCAGAACUUUCUGACUCAGCACAGUACAAGGCAGACGGGCCUUGUAGUUUACACUAAUUUUACUGUUAAUUAAAAGUAAAGAGUUAGCAGAGCCAGAAGCCUUUGGUCUAGUGAAAUUCAAAAAAAGGGUGAAAGUGCAGAGUCAGGAAUAUCAGCUGCAUUCUAGGCCUAAUAACCAGAAAGUGGCAAGAAGUCCAAAUUGCCGACUUUCUAAAUAGCUACAAACCAAAAAUCAAAAAAGUAAAUGUAGGUUCAUUGAUCACUGCAGUGUAUGCAGUGAGUGAGCUUUGGACAGUCUUAAGUUCUCAUGGACUUCAUUGAUUGUGUUAAACAUCAUAAGUAGGCCUCAGUGCCUAAAAGCUCUCUCAUUGUUCUUUGACAUUCAUUAGACAUUCAAAACGUGUAAAAUGAGCGUGGGGUCCAUACUGUGGUGCGUACAGCAUCGAGGGGUAACUCAACACACUGACAGCUUUCUGAGCUUUCUUUGAUACAAUAUUUCUGACUGAUCAUUCAUUUUGUGGCAAAUUAAAUAUGCACUCAUCUCAUAUGUAAGUGGUAAAUUUCACAUACAUCAGUGAUUCAGCAUAAAUACAAAAGUAAAACAUAUGCAGCACCUACUGUAUAAUGUCUGAAGAGAUAGUAUGCAAUAGCAUUAUUAAACUAUGAUAAUAAUCUAAACCGAUUGCUACUAAUCCAGAGUUUAUCUGAUGACAUUCAAGCAUUUUCUUUUUUUUUUCUUUCUUUCUUUUUUUUUUUUUAAAAAAUAUACUUAUGUAACAGAUCAACAGCGAAACAUUUAAAAUGCACCAUAACUAGAUUUAAAACUGGAAGGAUUUGUGGAAUAUUAGGUUCUGCUUCUGAAAGCCUUGAAACAAUGCUAGAUAGUAAGAUAUACAUAGGUCAAAACUAUUUCUGUAGUAUUAUCAUGGAUUUUUGUAUGUUGUUUGACACAAACUAUAAAUGACUUAAAGUUGAUUUCCUUCUUGCAACAUGUGACAAAAGUAUCUUGACCCUUUGCUUUAAUCAGGACCUGUAGCUUUCAUUUUUCUAUCCAGUUUAAGUGACAGAUGGACAUAAUGGUGUUAAUGGACAGGUAUGAUACAAAUGGAUCAUUUGAUACUUGUAGAUGCCACUUUUUCCAUUUAAUCAAACUGCAUUUUCAAAUCCAUCCAUGCAUACAUUUUCUAUACCGCUUAUCCUACUGGGUCACAGGUAACCUGGAGCCUAUCCCAUGGAUCAUCAGGCACAAGGUGGGGUACACUCUGGACAGGGUGCCAAUCCAUUGCAGGGCACAAUCACACACCCAUUCAUACACUAUGGGCACUUUGGACAUGCCUAUUGGAUCAGCAUACCAUGCAUGUCUUUGGCCUUAAGUCAAGUAUUUUUAAGACUUUAAAGCAUCUGUAUGAACUAUGUAAGUUGUUUCCUACAAAAAAAUAUAUGAUGAAUAAAAAUUCUUAAUUUAACACUAAGCUGUUUGUUUCCCAGACUGUCCAUAAUCCUGGCCCCAGGAUUAGUUGGGAAGAUUGUGAAUGCCAUCACCAUAUCAGCAUGAAAAAUGAACCAAAGAAUGCUGUUGAAGUGGUAGCCUCUCUGGCAGAGGGUUUUUCAUAAUAAUCUUAUGUGGUACUGAGUGCUCAUUGUGCUAAAUUAAGGUUAAUGUUCACAUGUUAUGGGAUAUUCUCUAAAACAUUAAUGAGGUGAAAAAAGGUGUGGCUCCAAUUCACCAGCUCAUAAGACACCCCUGUGACUGGCUUUUUCCUAAGAAAACUACCCAGGAUCCCUUGCAAAGAAUUUUGCAAGGAGUCAGUUGCUCUGUUUUCAUUAGGAGAGAAACAAGAACUGAGCAAUGAAACAAGACCUGAGCAAUCUACUUCCCAGCUGCAACUGUAGGACCCUUGAGACAGCCAUGGCCCUGGUACUUUGACCCUCCAGACUGACAACAUGGGCUGCAUAAACGUAGGUCAUGGUCUCAGGUCAAACUUCCUGUCCAGUCAGGCACCCUACCUUCUUUAGAUAUAUGCUUUGCUUCCCACAGAAACCAAGCAGCAGAGUUUUUCAUAUAAUAAUUUACUUUUUCCAAGUCUGUUUGGUCAGAAAUAGAAAAUGUGCUGAGCCACUAGCAAACAUGGAUAUUUAAGGAAUAUUAGGUAGUUAAAAUAAAAACGGUUUCUGAACAUUUUGCAUGUAUUUAUAUUGGCUCAAAUUUACCCAUGAAGUCAAUGAAGUAUUUAGGUGAAAGGCAGUCAGAAAAUAUGUGUAUUCACACACUAAUCUUUGAUGUUACAUAAAAAACAAACCCUGGAAAGCAGUAAAACUGUAAAAUAAUAUUUACUGUGAUAUAUUUUGCAACUACUAUUAUUAUUAUUAUUAUUAUCAUUAUUAUUAUUAUUAUUAUAAAUAGCCAUUAAAUAGUCAUCAAUAAUAAACAGUCAUAUUACUCAUCAGAAUUAGGGUAGGACAUAUCUACUUCUCUCACAUUUUCAGGUUAUACAAUCACUUAUAAUCUCAACACAUUAUUGUAGUAUUUAACAAUAUAAACUCUGUCAGAAAUAAGCUUAAACAGAGGAAUUUCACUCAGCUAGAACUGCCCACUUCAUAUUAAGAUUUUUCUCAAAUUUUAAUAUAUACCGUGGCCAAGUUGCUUUUAGUUGCCUUGCCAGAGAUAGAUUACUUUUUUCAUCCAGGCGUAGAAGUCGUGCCAAGAAGGGUACAAAGAGCAUGCCGUGACUUUACAAUGAACAAAAGCACAAGUGACUCCGAGUUGACAGGGUUACCAAAAUUCAUUUCUAACUCAGCUGGUGGUAGGGAACUACUGAAACUUCGUAAUGAAAUGCUGUGAUAAAAAUCUUUACUUUCCCCUACCUUUUUGAGAGGGGGUGGGGAAGAGGACAAAUGGCAGGCAAGUUAUUUUCCACACUCAUGGGGUGUGCGUGAUAAAUCAACUCAAUUGCUGAUUCACUCCCAGGAAUUCCUGUCUCCUUCUGCUGCCUCUGUGUUGUCAAGGAUGCUAAACAUCUUGGCAUGACGCUCUAACCUACUACAUGUGCUAGUAUUUUGAUAUGUUUAGAAACUUAAAAAUUGUUCAAGUGCUAUACAGUUUUAACAGAAUGUGGGAG